AGUGAACGCUGGCGGUAGGCCUAACACAUGCAAGUCGAACGGCAGCACAGUAAGAGCUUGCUCUUACGGGUGGCGAGUGGCGGACGGGUGAGGAAUACAUCGGAAUCUACUUUUUCGUGGGGGAUAACGUAGGGAAACUUACGCUAAUACCGCAUACGACCUACGGGUGAAAGCAGGGGAUCUUCGGACCUUGCGCGAUUGAAUGAGCCGAUGUCGGAUUAGCUAGUUGGCGGGGUAAAGGCCCACCAAGGCGACGAUCCGUAGCUGGUCUGAGGGGAUGAUCAGCCACACUGGAACUGAGACACGGUCCAGACUCCUACGGGAGGCACCAGUGGGGAAUAUUGGACAAUGGGCGCAAGCCUGAUCCAGCCAUACCGCGUGGGUGAAGAAGGCCUUCGGGUUGUAAAGCCCUUUUGUUGGGAAAGAAAAGCAGCAGGUUAAUACCCCGCUGUUCUGACGGUACCCAAAGAAUAAGCACCGGCUAACUUCGUG
This 492-nucleotide ribosomal RNA is filed under the name uncultured bacterium. RNAcentral describes it as "partial 16S ribosomal RNA". It matches the Rfam family "Bacterial small subunit ribosomal RNA", at positions 29 to 507 of the family's 1533-position model. The record is from RNAcentral.